This 1971-nucleotide unclassified non-coding RNA is filed under the name Anneissia japonica. RNAcentral's name for it is "uncharacterized LOC117101603, transcript variant X1". Lineage: Eukaryota; Metazoa; Echinodermata; Crinoidea; Comatulida; Comatulidae. The record is from RNAcentral.
CUGCCCUCUAUUAUAUAAAAUGAAAGCAAUGUAAACAACUAGCAUUAUAUUUCGAUAUAAUUUCUAUAUUUGUAAAAAACUAAAUGCUUCAGAUUAACUUCAACAUGGGAGGAACAAUUGUGUGAGGUACCACUCACAAGAUACCACUCCACUGAUAAGGAGCAAUGGUGCCAAGAUACCACACCACUAUUACCACAAAACUGAUGAGGACCAAUCGUGCAAGGUACCACUCCACUGGUGAGGAGCAAUGGUGCAAGAUACCACACCGCUGAUGAGGACCAAUGGUGCAAGAUACCAUACCACUGAAGGGGCAGUUUUACGAGUCUUUCAUGCAUUACGCUUACAAAUAGAAGGUGCAGUUUUACGAGUCUCUAAUGCAUUACGCUUACAAAUAGUUACACCAAUUAAAAUACAUGAAAAGGAGAGCAGGUGGAGAACUCUGCAGAACACAAACAAUGUGGCCUAAGGACAAGAUUGCGAAGCAUAAUGAUAGUGUUCAUCUUGAAAAGCCUAGAGGUCAAAGACCAGAUGAAGAAAUGGCAAAGAAAAGCAUCUACAUUCAAGAAACUUUUUAUUAAAAAAUAUAAUAAAAAUAUUGAAUAAUACAUAGUUGAAUUUUAUUAAUACUCAGGGAUGUAAAUUUAAUGUUUUAUUCUUGUUUAAGCUUAAAUUGGUCUUUGUAUGUAUAAUCUCCAGUUAGUGGAUGUUUUUUUCUCUGUUGGUUGAUGAUUGAAUAAUAAAAUAACAAAAAUCAAAUGAACUACAAAUAAUGAAAACUGACUGUGUGGUUUUAAUUAACAUUUAUUUUGCAAUUCUCUCAUAAAUACAAUUUAAAUGACAAAGAAGAACAGACAAGAAGAUAAACUAUACCCCUUACACAACAUGUAACAAAAAAUCAACAAAAUAGUAAACAAAGAUCAAUAUUGGCCUAGUUAUGUAUCAACUGAACACUACAUACAUUGACAACAGAAGAUAAUUUUAGACCUUUGUAAUUUUUACAUAGACCUUUGUAAUUUUUACAUAGAAUAUAUGGGAUAUUUUCCCAGAAACAAAACCUCAGUUUUUGGUUUAGAUACAGCAGCAAUAUUUGACAUCAAUGUACAUCACUCAGCAACUAGAGAAAUCCAGCACUUUCCAUGGUGUAGAAAAUAUGAAUAUUCAGUAGUUCAUUACAAAACUAAUUUACAGUGGAAAUUAAUCAACAAUAAGACAAUCAAAAAACAUGCACAACUGGUCUCAAUCACAUUAUAAAUUCAAAAAAAUUAGGGAUAAAAUUGAGGGCGCUACAUAGUAAAUAUAAAUAUUCAGUAGCAAAUUACGAGACCAAUUUACAGAGGAAAAUAAUCAGCCAUAAGACACCAGGGUGUAGAAAAGCAUAAAGGUCCUUACAAUUAUUAUUAUUGGAAAAUAUGAAUAUUCAGUAGUAAAUUACGACACCAGUUUACAGUGAAAUAAAUCAGCAAUAAAUACGACAAUCACAAAAAUAUACAGAACUGGUUUUGCAUAUACUGUAUUAUAAAAUUCAAACAAAGUAGUAAAAAAUUGAGGGCGCUACACAACCCGGUUGAAAAUUUGCUUAGGAAAAUAUGAAUAUUCAGUGUUAAGUCUAUUAUAAAUUUGAACAAAGUAGGGAUAAAAUUGAGGGCGCUACAUAAUAAUUAAUUAUGACACCAGUUUACAGUGGAAAUUAUUCAGCAAUAAAACAACCACCACAAUAACAUUCACAACCGGAAUUAAAUUUAAAGCUUUGAUUCAAAGUAGUGAUGAAAUUGAGGGCGCUACACAAAUACAUGGUCGUAAAUUUGCUUAGUAUAUAUGAAUAUUCAGUGGUUAGAACUCAUUAUAUUUCAAAAAAAGUAGAAAUGAAAUUGAGGGCGCCACCUAGUAAAUAUGAAUAUGCAGUAGUUAAUUUUAACACCAGAUUACAGUGGUAAUUAUUCAGCAAUAAAGCAAUCGCAAUAACAUGUUUAC